GGCGGGCACCUAUCUAAGGCUGGGUGGUUGGUAGAGAACCAGAGAAGGCUCCUGAAAGAGCUGAGCUUUGAAAGACCAAGGAGUUGUCAAGAUAAAGUAGAGAAGGUCUCUACACAAUUGCACAUCAGUUCAAGCAACUGCAUUAGCACAGGAGUGCCGAGUCGUUCCAAAGAGAGAAGAGUGAGCCAAUAGCUACAGCUGGCAGCCAGGGAAGGGAAAAUGUGCUCUGAGCACUCAGUGAGUCACCCAAACAGACAGGAGGAAGCAUGUGCCAAUUGAGCCUGGAGGCUGCGCCAGAGCUCACACACUCAGCAAGGUCAGGAUUUGAAUAGAAGUAUUAAAGGACCAAACCAUGGGAGGAGUAUAAAAUCGAGCCUUGAUGCAUCAAAGCAGCUCCAUAUGGAUGCUGACCAGAAACUGAAAACUUUCCAGUAGGAAGCUCCUGGAAAUAAGCUCUAAUGAAACAAGGAAAGAAACCAAGA
Molecule: long non-coding RNA, 482 nt
Filed under: Equus asinus (donkey)
Lineage: Eukaryota; Metazoa; Chordata; Mammalia; Perissodactyla; Equidae
Description: lncRNA (ENSEASG00005034795.1)
Source: RNAcentral